This 619-nucleotide ribosomal RNA is filed under the name Escherichia coli. RNAcentral's name for it is "bacterial SSU rRNA". It matches the Rfam family "Bacterial small subunit ribosomal RNA", at positions 69 to 677 of the family's 1533-position model. The record is from RNAcentral. Lineage: Bacteria; Pseudomonadati; Pseudomonadota; Gammaproteobacteria; Enterobacterales; Enterobacteriaceae.
GUACAGGAAGCAGCUUGCUGCUUCGCUGACGAGUGGCGGACGGGUGAGUAAUGUCUGGGAAACUGCCUGAUGGAGGGGGAUAACUACUGGAAACGGUAGCUAAUACCGCAUAACGUCGCAAGACCAAAGAGGGGGACCUUCGGGCCUCUUGCCAUCGGAUGUGCCCAGAUGGGAUUAGCUAGUAGGUGGGGUAACGGCUCACCUAGGCGACGAUCCCUAGCUGGUCUGAGAGGAUGACCAGCCACACUGGAACUGAGACACGGUCCAGACUCCUACGGGAGGCAGCAGUGGGGAAUAUUGCACAAUGGGCGCAAGCCUGAUGCAGCCAUGCCGCGUGUAUGAAGAAGGCCUUCGGGUUGUAAAGUACUUUCAGCGGGGAGGAAGGGAGUAAAGUUAAUACCUUUGCUCAUUGACGUUACCCGCAGAAGAAGCACCGGCUAACUCCGUGCCAGCAGCCGCGGUAAUACGGAGGGUGCAAGCGUUAAUCGGAAUUACUGGGCGUAAAGCGCACGCAGGCGGUUUGUUAAGUCAGAUGUGAAAUCCCCGGGCUCAACCUGGGAAACUGCAUCUGAUACUGGCAAGCUUGAGUCUCGUAGAGGGGGGUAGAAUUCCAUGUGUA